This 466-nucleotide ribosomal RNA is filed under the name uncultured bacterium. RNAcentral's name for it is "partial 16S ribosomal RNA". It matches the Rfam family "Bacterial small subunit ribosomal RNA", at positions 28 to 507 of the family's 1533-position model. The record is from RNAcentral.
GACGAACGCUGGCGGCGUGCUUAACACAUGCAAGUCGAACGGAAGGGCCCUGCUUGCAGGGUACUCGAGUGGCGAACGGGUGAGUAACACGUGGGUGAUCUGCCCUGCACUUCGGGAUAAGCUUGGGAAACUGGGUCUAAUACCGGAUAGGAGCCAUCUUUAGUGUGGUGGUUGGAAAGUUUUUUCGGUGUAGGAUGAGCUCGCGGCCUAUCAGCUUGUUGGUGGGGUAAUGGCCUACCAAGGCGGCGACGGGUAGCCGGCCUGAGAGGGUGUACGGCCACAUUGGGACUGAGAUACGGCCCAGACUCCUACGGGAGGCAGCAGUGGGGAAUAUUGCACAAUGGGCGCAAGCCUGAUGCAGCGACGCCGCGUGGGGGAUGAAGGCCUUCGGGUUGUAAACUCCUUUCGCUAGGGACGAAGCUUUUUUGUGACGGUACCUAGAUAAGAAGCACCGGCUAACUACGUG